UCCCGUGGGUACUGUCUAGUGGUCAGGAUUCGUGGUUUUCACCCACGUGGCCCGGGUUCGAUUCCCGGCACGGGAA
Anneissia japonica is the source of this 76-nucleotide non-coding RNA. The record is from the annotation of a RefSeq genome assembly. Lineage: Eukaryota; Metazoa; Echinodermata; Crinoidea; Comatulida; Comatulidae.